This is a non-coding RNA of Nylanderia fulva, 375 nucleotides long. Lineage: Eukaryota; Metazoa; Arthropoda; Insecta; Hymenoptera; Formicidae. The record is from RefSeq and is a predicted model, not a curated record.
AAGAAAUAGAGCAAACGGAAGAUGAAAAAGAAGAAGAAGCGGGAGAUGAAAAUAACGCCGCGUUUUCUGAAGAAAAAGAAGAACAAGAAGAAAAUAGCGGGGUGAUGGCUGAGGAAGGAAUUUCUUUCUCUCCUAACAUCGUUCCCGAAGUUUCAUAUUUACCGGAGUAUUAACCCUCGCAGGGUGAUACAAAUGGCCCGAUAAAAGAAUAUUAAAACUACAGAGUGGCGAAGGAACGUCGAAAUACACCAAGGAGAAGAUUUUCAAACCCGCUCCGGUGAGGAAACUUCUGACGAUGUCAAAGAGCGACAUUUAGCUGGUGUACAAGAGGAAGAAGAAGAAGAAGAAGCGGAGGAAGAAAUAGCGAAUCAAGAG